This 73-nucleotide transfer RNA is filed under the name Aphanomyces invadans. It matches the Rfam family "tRNA". From Rfam's summary of the family: Transfer RNA (tRNA) molecules are approximately 80 nucleotides in length. The record is from Rfam by way of RNAcentral. Lineage: Eukaryota; Oomycota; Saprolegniomycetes; Saprolegniales; Verrucalvaceae.
UCGCAAAUAGCUCAGUGGUUAGAGCGUCUGUCUUGUAACCCGAAGGUCCCCGGUUCGAUUCCAGGUAUCCGGU